RNAcentral lists this ribosomal RNA (488 nucleotides) under bacterium C113. RNAcentral's name for it is "bacterial SSU rRNA". It matches the Rfam family "Bacterial small subunit ribosomal RNA", at positions 1 to 478 of the family's 1533-position model. The record is from RNAcentral. Lineage: Bacteria; Bacillati; Bacillota; Bacilli; Caryophanales.
UAGAGUUUAUCAUGGCUCAGGACGAACGCUGGCGGCGUGCCUAAUACAUGCAAGUCGAGCGCAGGAAGCCGUCUGAACCCUUCGGGGGGACGACGGUGGAAUGAGCGGCGGACGGGUGAGUAACACGUAAAGAACCUGCCCAUAGGUCUGGGAUAACCACGAGAAAUCGGGGCUAAUACCGGAUGUGUCAUCGGACCGCAUGGUCCGCUGAUGAAAGGCGCUUCGGCGUCGCCCAUGGAUGGCUUUGCGGUGCAUUAGCUAGUUGGUGGGGUAACGGCCCACCAAGGCGACGAUGCAUAGCCGACCUGAGAGGGUGAUCGGCCACACUGGGACUGAGACACGGCCCAGACUCCUACGGGAGGCAGCAGUAGGGAAUCUUCCACAAUGGACGAAAGUCUGAUGGAGCAACGCCGCGUGAACGAUGAAGGCUUUCGGGUCGUAAAGUUCUGUUGUAAGGGAAGAACAAGUGCCGCAGGCAAUGGCGGCAC